Capsicum annuum is the source of this 1664-nucleotide RNA transcript. It is a transcript of the gene named 1,4-dihydroxy-2-naphthoyl-CoA synthase, peroxisomal, with no coding region annotated. The transcript has 13 exons. The record is from RefSeq and is a predicted model, not a curated record. NCBI's taxonomy places the organism in Eukaryota, Viridiplantae, Streptophyta, Magnoliopsida, Solanales, Solanaceae.
ACGAAAACAGUUUAUUGAAAAAAAAGAAGCUAUUGCAUGAUUUUCAUUUUUUCCCAUCCUAUUUUUUCACAAAAUCCUCCAAAAAUUUAAAAAAUAUAUAACAAAAAUUUAAAAAAUCUAUGACAAAAAUAUUUCACUGAGUCAACAAACACCAACUCAAUCUCAGUCGACAAACACCAGUACUGUGAGCCGACUUGACUGCCGACUACCGACUACCGCUCCGACUCUCGCUCCGACCACCACUCCGAAUACCGCUCCGAUUUACAAUAAACCAAUAUAUUGCUUCCUAGUAGUAAGUUGAUUCAUAAUAGAUUUAGCAGAGCAGAUAGAUCUAGUAGCUGAAUCCUAAUAGGUACAAAGACAUUCUGUAGCGGUGGUGAUCAGGCAUUGAGACGUAAGGAUGGUUAUGCUGAUUUUGAAAGCUUUGGUCGCCUCAAUGUUUUAGAUUUACAGCUAGAGUGCAAAUUCGCCGUCUACCAAAACCAGUAAUUGCAAUGGUUGCAGGUUAUGCUGUUGGGGGUGGACACAUUUUGCAUAUAAUUUGGGAUCUAACAAUUGCAGCAGACAAUGCUAUAUUUGGUCAGACAGGCCCAAAGGUAGGAAGUUUUGAUGCCGGUUAUGCAAGUUCAAUUAUGUCCCAUUUGUUGGACCAAAAAAAGCUCGUGAAAUAUGGUUUUUGACAAGGUUCUACACAGCCUCCGAAGCAGAGAAAAUGGGACUUGUGAAUACUGUUGUUUCAGUACUAAGAAGCAGCUAUCGAGAGGAGAGAAACAACUUCUCGAAUGGUAUGCAGAGAAAGGCAUAACGUUGAUCCUGAGUACCUACAUAGUAAAAGCAGAUCGUACUUCAAAGACUUGUUAGUGUAGCCAGGGAAUAUUUUAAAUAUCAAAAACUUGUUAUUGCAACUAGAUCCACUGUUUUGAUGUUGUCAGAUUUUGAUGUACAAGGUGCCGAUUCCAAGAACAUCUUCUACUUGAGAGAAAUCAAUGACCACUGAUAAGAUUGUGGAAGCAUUAAAAGCUAACAAAAAUGCAAAGGUCGUAGUUGUUGGAGGAGGGUACAUCGGUCUCGAGCUUACUGCUGUACUGAGACUGAACAAUAUUGAAGUCGAUAUGGUUUAUCCAGAACCGUGGUGCAGCGAAGUCUGUCAAACUUAAAGACGAUAGAGUUUUGAAAGCUGCCAUAGUAGUCGUAGGAGUCGGAGCAAUACCACUCACCGAUCUAUUCGAAGGGCAAGUUGAAACUGAGAAAAGAGGAAUUAAGAUGUGUGCUCACUUCUCACUGUUUAGUGGUGCCUACAAGUUAUCUGAUCAAAUAUGCUUGUGACUUCUUUCAAUCAUGCUCAUUUGGUUUUCUCGAAUAAGCUGGUGUUGUAUGAUCUUAAAAAGCAGGCCAUUGGUUGAACUGAGUACAACUAUCAGAGUUGAACAAUCAAGAAUCAAGAAGGGUGUUCAAGAAAUCACCACAAAGUUAAGAGCUUUUUUUCAGAUGGAUCACUAGCAGCUUUACGAACAAAUCGAUACUAGAACAAAGGAAGAAGAAGAAGAAUACAGGCUAUGUAAAUGACAGAUUGUUUUGUGAUGUGUGUAUAUAUUUAUAAUUGUAUAUUAUAAUUUAUUAUAUAUGUAAAAACUAAUUUACAAUAGGGGUGACUUUCAUCUAAA